RNAcentral lists this ribosomal RNA (253 nucleotides) under uncultured bacterium. Its description in RNAcentral is "partial 16S ribosomal RNA". It matches the Rfam family "Bacterial small subunit ribosomal RNA", at positions 524 to 776 of the family's 1533-position model. The record is from RNAcentral.
UACGUAGGGUGCAAGCGUUGUCCGGAAUUAUUGGGCGUAAAGAGCUCGUAGGCGGUCUGUUGCGUCGGCUGUGAAAACCCGGGGCUCAACCCCGGGCCUGCAGCCGAUACGGGCAGACUAGAGUUCGGCAGGGGAGACUGGAAUUCCUGGUGUAGCGGUGAAAUGCGCAGAUAUCGGGAGGAACACCGGUGGCGAAGGCGGGUCUCUGGGCCGAUACUGACGCUGAGGAGCGAAAGCGUGGGGAGCGAACAGG